This 471-nucleotide ribosomal RNA is filed under the name uncultured organism. RNAcentral describes it as "partial 16S ribosomal RNA". It matches the Rfam family "Bacterial small subunit ribosomal RNA", at positions 335 to 797 of the family's 1533-position model. The record is from RNAcentral.
ACUCCUACGGGAGGCAGCAGUGGGGAAUAUUGCACAAUGGGCGCAAGCCUGAUGCAGCCAUGCCGCGUGUAUGAAGAAGGCCUUCGGGUUGUAAAGUACUUUCAGCGGGGAGGAAGGCGAUAAGGUUAAUAACCUUGUUGAUUGACGUUACCCGCAGAAGAAGCACCGGCUAACUCCGUGCCAGCAGCCGCGGUAAUACGGAGGGUGCAAGCGUUAAUCGGAAUUACUGGGCGUAAAGCGCACGCAGGCGGUCUGUCAAGUCCGAUGUGAAAUCCCCGGGCUCAACCUGGGAACUGCAUUCGAAACUGGCAGGCUAGAGUCUUGUAGAGGGGGGUAGAAUUCCAGGUGUAGCGGUGAAAUGCGUAGAGAUCUGGAGGAAUACCGGUGGCGAAGGCGGCCCCCUGGACAAAGACUGACGCUCAGGUGCGAAAGCGUGGGGAGCAAACAGGAUUAGAAACCCUGGUAGUCCCA